GUUUGUUUGAAGUUAUAAAGAAUUUAACCUGCCCCCUGAUUAUUUAUUUAAAGGGCCGCAGUAUUAUAACUGUGCAAAGGUAGCAUAAUCAUUAGGUUUUUAAUUGAAAUCUCGUAUGAAUGGUUGGACAAAAGAAAAACUCUCUUUAUAUUAAGUUUUGAAUUUAACUUUUAAGUGAAAAGGCUUAAAUAUUCUAAAGGGACGAUAAGACCCUAUAAAACUUUACAUUGUCGUUAAUUUUGAUUGAAUUUAUAAAAUAAAAAUUUUAUUUGAUUAUUUGUUAUGUUGGGGAGACAUAAGUAAAAAUUUUUUAACUGCUUUGACAAUUAUACAAUUAUUAAUGGAAUAAUAGAAGAUCCUUUUUUAAGAUUAGUAGAUUAAGUUACUUUAGGGAUAACAGUGUAAUUUCUUUUGAGAGUUCUUAUCGAAAAAGAAGAUUGCAACCUCGAUGUUGAAUUAAAAUAUCUAUAUAAUGAAGAGGUUAUAUAAGAAGGUCUGUUCGACCUUGAAAAUUUUACAUGAUUUGAGUUCAAACCGGUGUAAG
RNAcentral lists this ribosomal RNA (544 nucleotides) under Longpotamon planum. RNAcentral's name for it is "partial 16S rRNA". It matches the Rfam family "Bacterial large subunit ribosomal RNA", at positions 1831 to 2625 of the family's 2925-position model. RNAcentral also lists the same sequence under 1 other name. Lineage: Eukaryota; Metazoa; Arthropoda; Malacostraca; Decapoda; Potamidae. The record is from RNAcentral.